CUGCCCCGUCUCUGGGCCAUGCUAUGCUGUAUACUAUCACUGUCAUCAAAAGGGGUGUGUAUAAGAACCUGAAAAACCAAACCAGCCUGUCUCUAAGGUGUUCCAUAUAUCACAGUCCUGCAGGUGGCUUUAUUCCUACAGUGCUGGGCUGUGCUGCUGCUGAAGCCUCCUGCUCCCCUUGCUCCCAAGACUUGCUUCUGGACUUAAGUGCUGCAUCAGGAGUAAUCACCUACCUAAAACACUUGUUGAAAAGAAGAAAAUCACCUUAAAAGGCUGGAACAGGAAAGGUCUGAAUUCUAUGUUUUUCCCUCCAUCCUCAGCUAUUCACCAUCAUCCUGCCUGCUAUGUUCCCCCACACACAUCAAACUGUACUUUGAAGAACAAUUCUGGCCUGUUCCUGUCACAAGGAGAUGGCUCUUACAUUCUUGUAUGAUGGUAUGAAAUUCUACCUGCCCUUUCUUUUUCUCUAAAAAACCCUGAAGUCUUUCACAGACCCUUGGCUUUGGCUGAUCUUUCCCUCCUCAGUGGCGUAGUACCUUGAUCAAGUUCAUCAUUUACACAAGACAGCAAAGCUCCCUGAAUUCUUUGAUAUGAAAUACAAAAUAUGAACACAUGUGAAGGUGAGAUCUCAGCGUCAGCACCUUUAAAAUGCUCAUCAAACACAACAGUAGUACAAGGGGCUGUGAAAUAUUUGAAAAUAAUUAUCUAAGUCUUUCCAAAACCCAAGCAAAGAUAGA
RNAcentral lists this long non-coding RNA (737 nucleotides) under Ficedula albicollis (Collared flycatcher). RNAcentral describes it as "lncRNA (ENSFALG00000023325.1)". Lineage: Eukaryota; Metazoa; Chordata; Aves; Passeriformes; Muscicapidae. The record is from RNAcentral.